UAACUGAGAGGUGAAAAUGACCCGGCAGUAAUGGAUUGACUGUAGAGCAGGAGUGGAGGGGACUGCUGACAAAGACCCUCAGCUUCCUGCUUGUGCAGCAGGAGGACGGCGGUGCCUUUAGCUAGGAGAGAAUCCUGGAAGGCCACCAUGCUGGAGAAGGCCACAAUUCCAUGUGGACAGGGGGUGUGGGGCACCUUGGAGACACCCAGGAGAGAUGCUGAGCAGGCAGCUGAAAGAACAGCCUCGUGAUCCCUACGAGCUUCCUGGACAAGCAGCUGACUGGGGGAAAUGCUGCCAGAAGUUCCCAUUCCCCAAACUGGGUUACUUCUUCCUUAUGCAACCCUGUCCCUUCGGUUUCUGGCUAAAGGCCCCAUUCCUAGAACUCCUCAGAGGCAGCCCCUCUCUGGCCAGCCAUCUGGGCAGCCCCCUGCCUGCGGGGCCCACAGCAGGUGAACAGGGGGCCAUGGGCACUCUCCACAGAGAUAGCCUAACCCAACAGCAGCCGUGGGUCCUGUGCGGCUGCUGUGUGCAAGGCCCUCUUCUGGGUGCUGGGGUAUACUGACAGAUGAGCCAGAAGAAGAUCGCUGCUCAUGCGGGGCUUAGAUUCCGCUCCAGGACUUGCGGGCAAGUCCUGCCUGUGACAACGGGGCAUGGCCACCCAGGUGUUCUGAAAGACCUGGUCUGGCUGCAGUACUCCCUCCCCACCCUGGAUUACCAAGUGCCCAAUCCCAGCCGAAAUCCAUUCAACUGACUUGACACGAGGUCUUCCAAGGGCCUUGCUAUCAAGUCAAAUUAUCAGAGAGUGAGAACCAUGUUUAGCCCUACCCUGUGACACAUGGGGAAUGAGGCUUGGUUCUGAGUAGAGGGCCCUGGUCGCACAGACACAGAAA
Molecule: long non-coding RNA, 890 nt
Organism: Manis pentadactyla (Chinese pangolin)
Lineage: Eukaryota; Metazoa; Chordata; Mammalia; Pholidota; Manidae
Exons: 3
Source: RefSeq, a predicted model, not a curated record